This 615-nucleotide ribosomal RNA is filed under the name Chylizosoma vittatum. RNAcentral describes it as "partial 12S ribosomal RNA". The record is from RNAcentral. Lineage: Eukaryota; Metazoa; Arthropoda; Insecta; Diptera; Scathophagidae.
AAAAUAUUUCAAAUUUCUUAUACAAUACUAUUACACUAUAAUUAAAAUUAUUUUUUCUAUAUUAAAUACUAAAACAAAUCUUUAUAUAAUUAUUUUUAAUAAUUUAAAAUUUUAAACUAAUAAAUUAAUAAAUAAAAUAUAAUCAAUUUAUAUUGAUUUGCACAAAAAUCUUUUCAAUGUAAAUGAAAUACUUUACUUAAUAAGCUUUAAAUUGCAUUCUAGAUACACUUUCCAGUACAUCUACUAUGUUACGACUUAUCUUAUUUUAUAAUAAGAGUGACGGGCGAUGUGUACAUAUUUUAGAGCUAAAAUCAAAUUAUUAAUCUUUAUAAUUUUACUAUCAAAUCCACCUUCAAUAAAUAUUUCAAAUUUAUAUUCAUAUAAAUAAUUUCAUUGUAACCCAUAUCUACUCAAAUAUAAGCUACACCUUGAUCUGAUAUAUUUUUUAUUUUAAAAUUAUGAAAAUUAACUUUCUUAUAAAAUAUUCUAAUAACAACGGUAUAUAAACUGAUAACAAAUUUAAGUAAGGUCCAUCGUGGAUUAUCGAUUAUAGAACAGGUUCCUCUGAAUAGACUAAAAUACCGCCCAAUUUUUUAGGUUUCAAGAAAAUAACUA